GGCUGAGAAUGCCGGUCUCGCGCAAGCGCGCACGCGCCGACCUUGAUCUCGUAGCCGGCGCCAGCAGCCGCGCUUUGGGGCGUCGGCUCACGUGGGGCCGGCAACGCGUCUUCCAGGAUGUUCGCGCGCUAGUCGCCGCUGAGGGGCCGGCGAUGCGCGAGGAGUUCCGGCGAGGAAGGUCGGUCAGUGGACAUGGCCGAGGCCCGCGGUGUCCGCGUGUGGGAGCUGCAGGGCUGAGGAGAGGCCGCCCGCAACCCUCGGGAAUCGUGUGAGGUGCCACUGGGGUCGCUUCACAUCAGGAGGCCCCGUCUCGGGGGACGCGCGCAGAGACGAGGUCUCACUAUGUUGGCCAGGUUGGUCUCGAAUUCCUGGCCGCAAGCCGUUCUCCAGUCUGGGCCUCCCAAAGUGCUAGGAUUACAGGAACAGAAUUGCCAUUGGGCCCAGGGAGAGACUACACUUCUUGUCUGCUUUGUUGCUAGUGCGGCCUUGUGGCCAAGCACAGAACGUGUGCAGUGAUGAUGGUGCAACUUCUAGGUCGUCCCCAGCAUGGAAAAUGAGCCCUGGGCAUGGAAGAUGAGCCCUGGUCCUGCAGCGGUGCUCUUUCCUCUUCUCACAAGCUGGAAUGUGCAUGUGCUCCCACCCAGCUUUGACCAUGGGGCGAAAACAGUACUCUGCAGUCUGGCAGAGCAACAAGGUGGAAAGGGCCUGGGUCCUUGAGUGACGUCAUGAGCCCUCUCACUGUCCCGACUUUGGGACUGUUAUAUGAUAAGGACUUUCUGUGAGUCACUGUCUUUUAGAGUCUCUCUGUUUUAGCUGCCUGGACUUUAUCCUGAAUAAUAUGGCUGUUAUCAUGGGUAUAGUGUUACUAUGAGCCUCAUCUAAGUAAUUUCUACUCUGCCUUUGACCACUAAACUCAUGUUGGACAAGAGUCACUUAGCAUUAUUUUUUCCUCAAUGAAGAGGUUAAGAUGGAGGGAGCAGGAGAAAUUGAGGCCUGUGUUUUACCAGAAGGUGAAGGGCUGUCUUUGCCUUUCCUACAUUUAUGAAGGAUAAUUCUAGACAAAAACAUUAAGUUCAUAUCAAACCAUCUGCUUUGUGAAGCCAUGGGCUUUGCUAGAACUUUCUGUGACAUGACAUUUAUUAACCCGAGUCUACCUGGAAGUUAGAGCUGAGGAAGUUUUCCUAGAGUGGAAAAAGUCCAAUGCACUUGUAAAAGUCAGACCAAGCUCAGCUCAGAUUUCAGUUUUAUUAGAAGUAUGUCACCUUCCUGAGCCCUUAUUAUUUCCCCAUCUGUGAAAUGAGGACACCGUUCUCUCUUUCUAAGCAUUGCUGGGAAGACCACACACCACUGAGACAGAAGGUGGGGCUAGCGCAGUUCUGGGCAUUUUGUACACCCCCAACAAAUACUGAUUUAUUUCCUUCUUUUUCCUUGCUCAGAAAAAAUUGGAGAAGGCUUUAUUUUAAAAUUCUGCCUGAAUUACUUUAUUUUAUUUAUUUAUUUAUUUAUUUUUUGGAGACAGAGUGUUGCUGUGUCACCCAGGCUGGAGUGCAGUGGUGCGAUCUCAGCUCACUGCAACCUCCUCCUGCUGGGUUCAAGCGAUUCUCCUGCCUCAGCC
This 1615-nucleotide long non-coding RNA is filed under the name Homo sapiens (human). Its description in RNAcentral is "HSALNT0406373". The record is from RNAcentral. Lineage: Eukaryota; Metazoa; Chordata; Mammalia; Primates; Hominidae.